RNAcentral lists this ribosomal RNA (896 nucleotides) under Niesslia rhizomorpharum. RNAcentral's name for it is "partial large subunit ribosomal RNA". It matches the Rfam family "Eukaryotic large subunit ribosomal RNA", at positions 38 to 964 of the family's 3401-position model. Lineage: Eukaryota; Fungi; Ascomycota; Sordariomycetes; Hypocreales; Niessliaceae. The record is from RNAcentral.
GCAUAUCAAUAAGCGGAGGAAAAGAAACCAACAGGGAUUGCCCCAGUAACGGCGAGUGAAGCGGCAACAGCUCAAAUUUGAAAUCUGGCCCCCAGGGUCCGAGUUGUAAUUUGUAGAGGAUGCUUUUGGCGCGGCGCCUUCCGAGUUCCCUGGAACGGGACGCCAUAGAGGGUGAGAGCCCCGUCUGGUUGGAUGCCUAGCCUCUGUAAAGCUCCUUCGACGAGUCGAGUAGUUUGGGAAUGCUGCUCUAAAUGGGAGGUAUAUGUCUUCUAAAGCUAAAUACCGGCCAGAGACCGAUAGCGCACAAGUAGAGUGAUCGAAAGAUGAAAAGCACUUUGAAAAGAGGGUUAAAUAGUACGUGAAAUUGUUGAAAGGGAAGCACUUGUGACCAGACUUGGGCCCGGUGAAUCAUCCAGCGUUCUCGCUGGUGCACUUCGCCGGCCCAGGCCAGCAUCAGUUCGCCUCGGGGGAUAAAGGCUUCGGGAACGUGGCUCCCUCGGGAGUGUUAUAGCCCGUUGCGCAAUACCCUGGGGCGGACUGAGGUUCGCGCUCCGCAAGGAUGCUGGCGUAAUGGUCAUCAGUGACCCGUCUUGAAACACGGACCAAGGAGUCGUCUUCGUAUGCGAGUGUUCGGGUGUCAAACCCCUACGCGUAAUGAAAGUGAACGUAGGUGAGAGCUUCGGCGCAUCAUCGACCGAUCCUGAUGUUCUCGGAUGGAUUUGAGUAAGAGCAUACGGGGCCGGACCCGAAAGAAGGUGAACUAUGCCUGUAUAGGGUGAAGCCAGAGGAAACUCUGGUGGAGGCUCGCAGCGGUUCUGACGUGCAAAUCGAUCGUCAAAUAUGGGCAUGGGGGGCGAAAGACUAAUCGAACCUUCUAGUAGCUGGGUUUCCGCCGA